GAAGAGCUGCAGUGGCCAUUCCCUUCACCUGGCUGCCUCCUCUACUCUAUAGGGCACUGAGCCCAAUGGAGAUGGAUGGGAGUGGAGUAGCAGUGAUGUGAUGAAUUACCUUGCAUGGGAGAGAAAUCCCUCCACUGUCUCAAACCCCGGCCACUGUACGAGCCUGUCAAGAAGCAUGGUAUUUCUGAAGUGGAAAGAUUAUAACUGCAAUGUGAGGUUACCCUAUGUCUGCAAGUUCACUACCUAGGGCAGGAGCAAAGUCAGCAGCCUGCGUUUGGUGUGGAACUCAUCAUGAGCAUGAACCCAGUGUGAAGACAUCCUGGAAGAGAAUAUUCACUUAAUUCCCCCCAGAUAUGACCACGUCAUUCUUAUCUUCCUUCUGUUUCUUCCUUCUCACUUUCAUUUCAGUCUCUUCAUUUUGUCAUAUGGCCUAAGGCUUUAGAGAGCAAUAAUAAAAUUUUUAGUCUGCA
This is a non-coding RNA of Callithrix jacchus (white-tufted-ear marmoset), 470 nucleotides long. NCBI's taxonomy places the organism in Eukaryota, Metazoa, Chordata, Mammalia, Primates, Cebidae. The record is from RefSeq and is a predicted model, not a curated record.